This 586-nucleotide ribosomal RNA is filed under the name Penicillium commune. Its description in RNAcentral is "eukaryotic LSU rRNA". The stretch from base 207 to 359 matches the Rfam family "5.8S ribosomal RNA". The record is from RNAcentral. Lineage: Eukaryota; Fungi; Ascomycota; Eurotiomycetes; Eurotiales; Aspergillaceae.
UCCGUAGGUGAACCUGCGGAAGGAUCAUUACCGAGUGAGGGCCCUCUGGGUCCAACCUCCCACCCGUGUUUAUUUUACCUUGUUGCUUCGGCGGGCCCGCCUUAACUGGCCGCCGGGGGGCUUACGCCCCCGGGCCCGCGCCCGCCGAAGACACCCUCGAACUCUGUCUGAAGAUUGAAGUCUGAGUGAAAAUAUAAAUUAUUUAAAACUUUCAACAACGGAUCUCUUGGUUCCGGCAUCGAUGAAGAACGCAGCGAAAUGCGAUACGUAAUGUGAAUUGCAAAUUCAGUGAAUCAUCGAGUCUUUGAACGCACAUUGCGCCCCCUGGUAUUCCGGGGGGCAUGCCUGUCCGAGCGUCAUUGCUGCCCUCAAGCCCGGCUUGUGUGUUGGGCCCCGUCCUCCGAUCUCCGGGGGACGGGCCCGAAAGGCAGCGGCGGCACCGCGUCCGGUCCUCGAGCGUAUGGGGCUUUGUCACCCGCUCUGUAGGCCCGGCCGGCGCUUGCCGAUCAACCCAAAUUUUUAUCCAGGUUGACCUCGGAUCAGGUAGGGAUACCCGCUGAACUUAAGCAUAUCAAUAAGCGGAGGA